This is a long non-coding RNA of Brassica napus (rape), 1619 nucleotides long. RefSeq lists it as uncharacterized. The transcript has 2 exons. The record is from RefSeq and is a predicted model, not a curated record. Lineage: Eukaryota; Viridiplantae; Streptophyta; Magnoliopsida; Brassicales; Brassicaceae.
ACACUUUAUCAAUGCUGUUAUUGCCGAGCAUAAUGAAUGGCACGAAUUUGAGAAGCCUCAGGAGCCAAACGAAGGUGACUUGAUACCAAACUUGAUAUCAAAGCCCAGUGUCGAUCGAUACCCUCCCAUCAUUGAUAUCGGGGAAUGUCACGGAAACUUCACAAAAAGACAACAUCGAUCGGCAGCUUCCUGUUAUAAUUCAGCACGCAGCAAAGCCUCGUAUAGCGAUUGGAGAAAGGGUUAAGUCUAGACUGCAGUAUGUACCCAGACAUCUCAGAAGGUCUAUUAGUGCUGCAAAGCUUGCUGGUUUUCCCAAGCGAGUGAAAGAGUUCAUGAAGAUGGAUCUUUUGAUGAUGCUUAUUACAUCGUUUUGGUAUGUUCUUCAGGGAUUGGUAUGUUUUUGGUAUGCUUUUAUUACAUGUAUCGUUUUUGGUAUGUUCUUGAGGUGAUCACUCAGAACCAUGCUUUAAUGCUUUUGCUGAUUCAGAUUGGGCAACAUGCCCAGAAAGUAGAUGUUCUAUCACUUGGUACUGCGUUUAUUGUUGAAACUCUUUGAUCACUUGGAAGUCUAAGAAACAUGACACUACAAGAAAACAUCCUCCAUACCGAUGACAUUUUCCGAGAAAUUUGUUUGUCUGAAAAGUUGAGACGGCUUUGUGAGCAUUUUCCGAGAACACAAGAAAUUUGUCGGAAUGCUUACAGAAUUUUCCGAUGAAUCAUUUUUCUUGGUAUUUUCUCGGAAACUAUUGUUGGUAUCUUGUCGGAAAUACAAAUUUUUCCGAGGGAUGAGUUUUGUCGGAAGAUCCUCAGGUGUUUUUAUCAGUAAUUUAUCGGAACAAUUAAUUUUCCGACGAUUGAUUCUCUUCUCAAUACAUCAUCGGAAAAAACAGACAGAAAAUUGUCGGAGUAUUCCGAUGAAAUACCGACAAUUGUGUUACCGAUGAGAUACCGACAAUCCGACGAUUGAUUCUCUUCUCAAUACAUCAUCGGAAAAAACAGACAGAAAAUUGUCGGAGUAUUCCGAUGAAAUACCGACAAUUGUGUUACCGAUGAGAUACCGACAAUGGUUUCUCGCCAAUUUCUCGAAAAUUAUAACUUUAUAUCUAUGGGGUAUGAUUUCUUCUUUUCCUCAUUCCCAUCAUCUCAUUUCUCCUUUACCUUCGACUGUCUGCAACUCAUGGGCAAUGGUGGUGAUGAUUGGCGGUGAUGAAACAAUGGAGAACCUCUCCACGUUUCUUCUCUUCCAAGCAACAACAAAGCUGAUGAUGAAUUGAUGACGGUUUGGAAUGACGUGGAGGCGGCGAGUUGAGGGAGGCCCUGUUUUCUCUGCAUUGCCGGGGGCUUGGUUACCGGAGCGAAAACAUGAACUAAGUGCUCUGAUGGCUUGACGGUGGGUGAAGGCUCCGAAACAGAUACGUCGGUGUUCUGGUUUUGUCUUGCCGGAGACUCUGAAACUGCUUCUAUCUGCCGGUUUGUGAUUAGUUUUGUAACAUUUUUCUUUUCCGGUGAGAUUUUUGGGUCGGCUCCUAAUUGUACGGUGGUUCUCAUGUCUCUUUAUGUAAAUUAUUUUUUAAUAAAGAGGAUCUACACAUGUAUGUUAUUCAUGAAGCUUUUUCUUA